This 204-nucleotide ribosomal RNA is filed under the name uncultured bacterium. RNAcentral's name for it is "partial 16S ribosomal RNA". It matches the Rfam family "Bacterial small subunit ribosomal RNA", at positions 1301 to 1500 of the family's 1533-position model. The record is from RNAcentral.
CAGUCUGCAACUCGACUGCACGAAGCUGGAAUCGCUAGUAAUCGCGGAUCAGCACGCCGCGGUGAAUACGUUCCCGGGCCUUGUACACACCGCCCGUCACACCAUGGAAGUCUGCAAUGCCCGAAGCCGGUGGCCUAACCACUUAUGUGGAAGGAGCCGUCUAAGGCAGGGCAGAUGACUGGGGUGAAGUCGUAACAAGGUAAC